AUGAAACUUGAGUUGUGAGACAAAUCUUAUCACUAACUAGCUGAUUGUCGUCACGAUUAGACAAGGGAAGAACAGUUACCGAUACCGAUUCAGUGCGGUUGCUGACUUUUUUUGCUGCUUGUUUUGAAACUUCAGCACGUCCUUUUAUUGUGCCGCUUCGCGAAUUUGUCCGCAGGUUUGUGGUUUGGCUAACCUCAUUCGUCAACCGUUUGAUAGAUGAGAUGGAAUUUGAGGCUUAGGAGAAGAGAUGC
This 251-nucleotide unclassified non-coding RNA is filed under the name Athalia rosae (coleseed sawfly). RNAcentral describes it as "misc RNA ENSAEAG00005009276.1". Lineage: Eukaryota; Metazoa; Arthropoda; Insecta; Hymenoptera; Athaliidae. The record is from RNAcentral.